RNAcentral lists this microRNA precursor (52 nucleotides) under Loxodonta africana (African savanna elephant). RNAcentral's name for it is "mir-1302 microRNA precursor family". It matches the Rfam family "mir-1302 microRNA precursor family". The record is from Rfam by way of RNAcentral. Lineage: Eukaryota; Metazoa; Chordata; Mammalia; Proboscidea; Elephantidae.
UUUUUAGUAUAAGUAUGUCCCACACGGUCUUUGGGACAUAUUUAUACUAAAA